RNAcentral lists this ribosomal RNA (325 nucleotides) under uncultured eukaryote. RNAcentral describes it as "partial 18S ribosomal RNA". It matches the Rfam family "Eukaryotic small subunit ribosomal RNA", at positions 1470 to 1796 of the family's 1831-position model. The record is from RNAcentral.
CCCUUAGAUGUCCUGGGCCGCACGCGCGCUACACUGACGCACCCAACGGGUUUACGACCUUGCCUGGAAAGGUUGGGUAAUCCUACAAAAAUGCGUCGUGGUGGGGACAGAUUACUGCAAUAACUAAUCUUCAACGAGGAAUUCCUAGUAAGCGCGAGUCAUCAGCUCGUGCUGAUUACCUCCCUGCCCUUUGUACACACCGCCCGUCGCUCCUACCGAUUAAGUGAUCCGGUGAAUAGUUCGGACUGCUGCAAUGCUUGGAUCCCGAGAAUUGCGGCGAAAGUUUAGUGAACCUUAUCACUUAGAGGAAGGAGAAGUCGUAACA